This 446-nucleotide ribosomal RNA is filed under the name uncultured bacterium. Its description in RNAcentral is "partial 16S ribosomal RNA". It matches the Rfam family "Bacterial small subunit ribosomal RNA", at positions 354 to 796 of the family's 1533-position model. The record is from RNAcentral.
GUAGGGAAUAUUGGGCAAUGGAGGCAACUCUGACCCAGCCAUGCCGCGUGCAGGAAGACGGUCCUCUGGAUUGUAAACUGCUUUUGAAUGGGAAGAACAUACGGUUUGCGAACCGUACUGACGGUACUAUUAGAAUAAGCACCGGCUAACUCCGUGCCAGCAGCCGCGGUACUACGGAGGGUGCAAGCGUUAUCCGGAUUUAUUGGGUUUAAAGGGUGCGUAGGCGGCCUUAUAAGUCGGUGGUUAAAGGUAGCAGCUUAACUGUUUUACAUGCCAUCGAUACUGUAGGGCUUGAGUGAUUUGGAGGUAGCUAGAAUUCCCUGUGUAGCGGUGAAAUGCAUAGAUACGGGGAGGAAUACCGAUUGCGAAGGCAUGUUACUACGAAUUAACUGACGCUGAGGCACGAAAGCGUGGGGAUCAAACAGGAUUAGAAACCCCGGUAGUCC